This 72-nucleotide transfer RNA is filed under the name Camelus dromedarius (Arabian camel). It matches the Rfam family "tRNA". Rfam says of the family: Transfer RNA (tRNA) molecules are approximately 80 nucleotides in length. Their secondary structure includes four short double-helical elements and three loops (D, anti-codon, and T loops). Lineage: Eukaryota; Metazoa; Chordata; Mammalia; Artiodactyla; Camelidae. RNAcentral also lists the same sequence under 1 other name. The record is from Rfam by way of RNAcentral.
GAGGGUAUAGUUCAAUGGUAGAGCACAGGCUUAGUAGUCACGAAGUCCUGAGUUCAAUCCCCAGUACCUCCA